This 493-nucleotide ribosomal RNA is filed under the name uncultured bacterium. Its description in RNAcentral is "partial 16S ribosomal RNA". It matches the Rfam family "Bacterial small subunit ribosomal RNA", at positions 27 to 507 of the family's 1533-position model. The record is from RNAcentral.
GAGUGAACGCUGGCGGUAGGCCUAACACAUGCAAGUCGAACGGCAGCACAGUAAGAGCUUGCUCUUACGGGUGGCGAGUGGCGGACGGGUGAGGAAUACAUCGGAAUCUACUUUUUCGUGGGGGAUAACGUAGGGAAACUUACGCUAAUACCGCAUACGACCUACGGGUGAAAGCAGGGGAUCUUCGGACCUUGCGCGAUUGAAUGAGCCGAUGUCGGAUUAGCUAGUUGGCGGGGUAAAGGCCCACCAAGGCGACGAUCCGUGGCUGGUCUGAGAGGAUGAUCAGCCACACUGGAACUGAGACACGGUCCAGACUCCUACGGGAGGCAGCAGUGGGGAAUAUUGGACAAUGGGCGCAAGCCUGAUCCAGCCAUACCGCGUGGGUGAAGAAGGCCUUCGGGUUGUAAAGCCCUUUUGUUGGGAAAGAAAAGCAGCAGGUUAAUACCCCGCUGUUCUGACGGUACCCAAAGAAUAAGCACCGGCUAACUUCGUG